CAAACUUGCGGCUCCCCCAACACUCUUGUUCUUCACGUGUCGUUGCAUACGCAGCUCUCCGUCUUUCUCCCAAACAUUUUCCUCGAUCAGUCUUAACAGUCAUUGUUGCAGACCUCCCUCUCCUUCUCCAAGAACCCUGCUCGGCUAUUUGAGCUUAAGCUUGGGCUCCAAUGGCGGCCUUUGACCAUGUCAAGGACAUGUACGAUGUUGCUCUAAGACCUCGUCUGUUGCAAACGCUCGUAAGAGACCUCCCUGAUGAUAAACACCCGUCUGGGAGUCCGUUGGAGCUGUCGAAGGUAGUCUACGCGAUCAAAACCCACAACCUCCUUUGUGAGUCUGCACAAGAUAUGACUGACCAAAAGCUAAUCACUACUUGGAAAUCCGCUACUGAUUCCUGGGUCCGUCGCUUGGCGCAGCUUGUUUCUAGUGAUAUGCCAGAUAAUGUUGGGAGGAUUUGUUGAUGGGGUGACUUGUCGGGAAUGC
Molecule: non-coding RNA, 483 nt
Organism: Malus domestica (apple)
Lineage: Eukaryota; Viridiplantae; Streptophyta; Magnoliopsida; Rosales; Rosaceae
Source: RefSeq, a predicted model, not a curated record